GAUGUGAAAUCCCCGGGCUCAACCUGGGAACUGCAUUCGAAACUGGCAGGCUAGAGUCUUGUAGAGGGGGGUAGAAUUCCAGGUGUAGCGGUGAAAUGCGUAGAGAUCUGGAGGAAUACCGGUGGCGAAGGCGGCCCCCUGGACAAAGACUGACGCUCAGGUGCGAAAGCGUGGGGAGCAAACAGGAUUAGAUACCCUGGUAGUCCACGCCGUAAACGAUGUCGAUUUGGAGGUUGUGCCCUUGAGGCGUGGCUUCCGGAGCU
This 263-nucleotide ribosomal RNA is filed under the name Escherichia coli. RNAcentral's name for it is "partial 16S ribosomal RNA". It matches the Rfam family "Bacterial small subunit ribosomal RNA", at positions 591 to 853 of the family's 1533-position model. The record is from RNAcentral. Lineage: Bacteria; Pseudomonadati; Pseudomonadota; Gammaproteobacteria; Enterobacterales; Enterobacteriaceae.